UGGUCUCUAGUCUAGCUGUGUCUCUAGUCUAACUGGUCUCUGGUCUAGCUGGUUUCUAGUCUAGCUGGUCUCUAGAUAAGGUAGAGAUGUAUUGGUGGGAGAGAGAGAUGUAUUGGUUGAAGAGAGAGAGAUGUAUUGGUGGGACAGAGUAGGGAUGUGUUGGUGGGAGAGAAGAGGGAUGUAUUGGUGGGAGAGAGUAGUGAUGUGUUGGUGGGAGAGAGUAGAGAUGUAUUAGUUGGAGAGAGUAGGGAUGUGUUGGUGGGAGAGAGAGAUGUAUUGGUGGGAGAGAGUAGAGAUGUAUUGGUGGGAGAGAGUAGGGAUGUGUUGGUGGGAGAGAGAGAUGUAUUGGUGGGAGAGAGUAGGGAUGUAUUGGUGAGAGAAAGUAGAGAUGUGUUGGUGGGAGA
Long non-coding RNA from Oncorhynchus tshawytscha (Chinook salmon), 404 nucleotides. The record is from Ensembl. NCBI's taxonomy places the organism in Eukaryota, Metazoa, Chordata, Actinopteri, Salmoniformes, Salmonidae.